AGUGGAUGGGGAGCAACCUAGUUGUGCGUGUGUAAAGGUAGUGCCAAGAAAAGCGAUGAUCAUGUUGAAAAUCAAUUCCCGGUACCCGAAACCGACACAGGUGGGCAAGUAGAGAAUACUAAGGGGCGCGAGGUAACUCUCUCCAAGGAACUCGGCAAAAUGACCCCGUAACUUAGGGAGAAGGGGUGCCACCGAGAGGUGGUCGCAGUGAAGAGGCCCAGGCGACUGUUUAGCAAAAACAUAGGUCUCUGCAAACUCGAAAGAGGAGGUAUAGGGGCUGACGCCUGCCCAGUGCCGGAAGGUUAAAGAAGUUGGUCAGUCUUAGGAUGAAGCUAGCGACUGAAGCCCCGGUGAACGGCGGCCGUAACUAUAACGGUCCUAAGGUAGCGAAAUUCCUUGUCGGGUAAGUUCCGACCCGCACGAAAGGCGUAACGAUCUGGGCGCUGUCUCGGAGAGAGGCUCGGCGAAAUAGGAUUGUCUGUGAAGAUACGGACUACCUGCAUUUGGACAGAAAGACCCUAUGAAGCUUUACUAUAGCUUGGAAUUGUGUUCGGGCUUCCUGUGCGCAGGAUAGGUGGGAGGCGUAGAAGGUAUUCUUGUGGGGAUACUGGAGCCAACGGUGAGAUACCACUCUCAGGAGGCUAGAAUUCUAACUUAAUUAAGGACAGUUUCAGGUGGGUAGUUUGACUGGGGCGGUCGCCUCAAAAAAGGUAACGGAGGCGUACAAAGGUUCCCUCAGACUGGUUGGAAAUCAGUCGAAGAGUGCAAAGGCAGAAGGGAGCUUGACUGCGAGAAGUACAGUUCGAGCAGGGUGGAAACACGGUCUUAGUGAUCCGACGGUGCUGUGUGGAAGGGCCGUCGUUCAACGGAUAAAAGUUACUCUAGGAUAACAGGCUGAUCUCCCCCAAGAGUUCACAUCGACGGGGAGGUUUGGCACCUCGAUGUCGGCUCAUCGCAACCUGGGGCGGAAGUACGUCCCAAGGGUUGGGCUGUUCGCCCAUUAAAGCGGUACGUGAGCUGGGUUCAGAACGUCGUGAGACAGUUCGGUCCAUAUCCGAUGUAGGCGUGAGAAUAUUGAGAGGAGCCUUCCUUAGUACGAGAGGACCGGGAAGGACGCACCGCUGGUGUACCUGUUAUGAUGCCAAUUGUAAACGCAGGGUAGCCAAGUGCGGAGAGGAUAACCGCUGAAAGCAUCUAAGUGGGAAGCCCACCUCAAGAUGAGUAUUCUGGUGUAAGGUCACGGGAAGACGACCCGUAAAUAGGCACGAGGUGGAAGUGCAGAGAUGUAUGAAGCCGAAGUGUACUAAUAGACCGUCGGCUUGACC
This 1325-nucleotide ribosomal RNA is filed under the name metagenome. RNAcentral describes it as "bacterial LSU rRNA". It matches the Rfam family "Bacterial large subunit ribosomal RNA", at positions 1561 to 2925 of the family's 2925-position model. The record is from RNAcentral.